Molecule: long non-coding RNA, 4941 nt
Organism: Betta splendens (Siamese fighting fish)
Lineage: Eukaryota; Metazoa; Chordata; Actinopteri; Anabantiformes; Osphronemidae
Exons: 2
Source: RefSeq, a predicted model, not a curated record
CACUAGUGUAUGUAUACAUUUUCUGUAUGUGGGCAAGCACACAGUCACACACACACACACACAUGCAGAGUGUGAGCAAUGUAGUAUAAUAAGCAGCAUGGCAGCAGUGUGGUCAGCGUUGCCCCAUGUGCAAUCGUUGAGAAGCCACAUGAAGGCUUCUGGGUAUUAAAGGACAAGCCUUGGUUGGCUGGGACGGAAUCUGUCAUGAAACUAGAAAACGGUGUUUUUCACCCGUUUUUUUUUUUUUUCCUCUCUCAUUUCGUCUCAAGCGUUUUUUCCUCGUGUUCUUCCACCCACCUCCCUCUCUCACUCUGCCCACUUGCUUCCCUUCUUCAUUUCUUUCAUUCUGAGGCAUAUUAGACUCAGUUGUAAUACUCUCCAGCCCAAAAUGCUUAGACCACUGGAAUGUUCCGUCAAAGAGGUGGGCGGGCCCUGGGGGGCGGGACAGACCAACAUAACCAAUUAAGGAGGAGAUUGAGCGGUCUUCUUCAGUGGUUUUGCUCCCCGACCCUGCGGCGGGAAAAUACGCUCACUUGUGGGUUUCUGGGAAGGCAGCGGUGGACGAAACAUCUGCUGGGAGCAAGAUGUAUGUAAGUGUGUGCAUGUGUGUGAGCGUGUGCGUGUACAGACAGUGUCCUGCUUCCUAUUCAAGUUUACAGCUUCGUUUGAGUGAUGGUAAAAUACAGAGACACAAACAUUGAUUGUUUUGUUUAAAAAAAAAUGUAAUCAUCAAUUAUUACAGUUUAAAUACAUUUUAUUGUGGAGGCUUUUAAAGAAGUGUCUACAUCAUGAUGAGUGGCUUUUAUUUUGAACGCUUUAUUAUUCCUAAAUAUAUAUUAAAGUUGGCAAGAAAACAAAGUAGAUCACGUAAGUUUCUUUUAAGAAUAUUGUCUGACGUUUAGAAAAGGAAGUAAAAAAAAUGUGCUUGUUUAUUGGACACACCUGAACCGUAAAUACUCUGCAGCAAUAGCAAAAUUUUCCACAACAUGAAUCUGUCUCCAACGCUGCUCCAACGUGUUUUGAAUUAGAUCAGACCAGACAUAGUUCUGAGGCCAGGGAAUGUGGGGAAUUACAGUAAAAACACACAGUUCUUUAAGAGUUUUUUAAGUAAAUUGAUGCCUUGAUGAUAAACAAGUUCCACUGCAUAUUUGUCACAUUUUUUGUGAGAACUUACAGCUACUUUUAGGUUUUAGAUCAUAAUGGGAUAAUUACCUUCUUGGACUCAUUUAUGACAGUAUUAUGUUUUUAUAUCCAGUGGUUGUUGAAUCAGAUGAAUCAGAUACAGGUUUAUUGAUUAAAUUGUUACCAGCUGAAAUAUUCUUUCUCUUGGUCCAAAAAAAAAAAAUUCUCACAUGACUCAAUAAACCUCCAUCUAUUUUAAAUUUCUCACCACACCUGGUGCAUUCAAAGACUCCGUGAACAAGUGAUGGCCACGUGCAGCGAUGACACUGUGCAAUGUCGAGCUGAACAAUGAUUUAGUCAUCUCUGUGGUAGCGGGCUGUGGUCGUAUCUCAGGAGAGUAAGAUCACAGAGGCUUGAAGGAAGAAAUUAAAGCUGAAGACUUGGGGGAUGAAUGGACGGAGAAGGGGGAUUGGGUAAAACUGUCACCAUUAAAGAGGGCCGUUUAAAGCACAUCCUCUGCCUUGGAAACCAGAAGGAGAAACUCUUCAGAUGCAGCCUCAUUAAACAAUAUAAGGUCUCUUUAUCAUGUGGCGACCUGCCGGAAGCAGGGCUGUGACCCGUCUUGGGUUCCGACCCAUCGUUUAAGAAGCCAGGGUUUUACGGGAAGUGUGAAUGUGGUGUGCAAUGAAAGGAUGGGAUGAGGUGUGUGUGUGUGUGUGUGUGUGUGUGUGUGUGUGUGUGUGUGUGUGUGUGUGUGUGUGUGUGUGUGUGUGUGUGUGUGUGUGUGUGUGUGUGUGUGUGUGCGGAUGCCUGUUUGUGUGUGUCUGCAGCGCACGCUGUUAUUAUGUUGCUGCGGUCGUAAUGAUGUAAGACGCGAGCUAGGGAGUAAACAAGAGCAGCACGCUAUCUACGAGCAGCAUGUGAACACAUUGUGCUUCUGUGGAAGUUUUGGUAAAAUGUGAUACAAUACGUGGAUUUACAUGAGGGUGUUGAUGAUAAAUCUGAUCUUUAGUUCUUCAGCAAACUCAACUAAGUAGAUAUUCACGAUUACAUAAAUUACACAAUAAUAAUAUUAAUAAACAUAAGUGUUUUAAUUAACUCAUUUAAAUAAUAGGUCAAUUUUUUUCUUUUCAGAUUAGAAUCUUUAGAAACAAGUAUAAAUGCAGACUGUGUGACACUUGUAGCUUGGAGUGUAGGUGUUUAUUUACAGGUGAUCAUCAGUUUGAAUCUAAAAAUUCUGAUGUAACAUGCAUGUUUAAAUACAUUAUGAUUAUGAAGAAGCUCAACAAAGAAUUUGAGGUCAAAGUUGCGAGAGGUCAAACCUUUGCUUUACAAACCUGUAUUGUCUUAUAAUAAUGUUAUGCCAUAUGAUAUUUGUCUUUUCUUUUGCUCUACUAGAAAUAAAUGUUUUUUUCCCAAAUAGUGUAGACAUUUUUUUGAACCUUCACUGUACUUUAUCCUGUAAUGAUGGAUGUUUCGAUAGCAAUUCUAAUGUCAUUAAAAUAUUUUACAAUCUUCUAAAGCAUUUUUUAUGCUUUAAUAAGUGACAUGCAGCCUACUUUCCUGAGGGUGGUUGUUAGCUCCUAAGACCUGGGAGUAGUGACAUCAUCAUCUUGAAGGACCAUUGAGUAUGAAUCCCAAAGUUCCCAUCAGCUGAAACCUUCCAGCACUGUGUGGCAGACUGAACAGUCUAAUAUUACACUAUACACAGUAUGAAACCAUUAAUCUGUUAAUGAGACAGAUUCAUGCUCUCUCUGCCCCAUUGCUUUAUACCCCCCUGCUUCUGCCUUGUCAAUCAGUAGAAGGAGGAAAAAGUCAUUAAAUCUCUCUGCUGGCCAUAUAUGUAAUUACAGUCUGCCUGUAUGUUGCUAAAUACGCCCCGGCGCUAGUCUGGUCUCCCUGGUCAUGUUUUUUCCUCCCACCGGCCGUGUUUGAAGCUCUCAUAAUUGGCAGAGGAAGCGUGUCAGGAUUAGAGGCUGCUGGUUUGAAACCCCGACACCCCCAUUUUCCUCUUCGUCUGUUUGCACCCCCCCACCCCCCGAUGCAGACAGCCAACCACAAAGUCCCUCUGCCUCUUUUCAUUUUCCUGCAGCUAUGUUCGUAUGCGUCGGAACCACAAAUGGAAUAUCUGUUUAAUCUUCAGGUACAAGUGAUUCACUAUUAAUUGAAGAAGAUGUUUUAAAACCAUUUCCCUUUAAUUGCUGGGUUUUGUGGCUUUUCUUCCUCAUCAUCUUCAUCAUCACGUACAUCAUCUACUGUAUCUGUACUACUAUCAUGAAUCCCAUUGUUAGCCUUUCUCAGGGCUUUUAUGAGUUUUAAUUAAGCUGGUGUAUAUUUGACUGGUGCCUGCAGGACGCCUGUGGUCAGGCCUCUCUCAUCUAUCACUGAACUCUUCUUAUUCACAACGCUGAUUUCUCAGCAGAGAGUCACUGCAUGACACGCUCAGAAACCGUUGGGGAGAUACACAAAUACCAGCGAAUUAUUUACUUUUCAGUUUAUUUACAUGUUAAAAUGAAACUUUUCGUGGUGCCGCUUAAUCGCUCGACUUCAACAGCGCUCAGUGUUUGGAAGCGGCACAAACCUGCUCUCACGUACGUUUUUACAGGGCUACCCCUGUCUCACUGGCAGCGGUAAAAGCCUUGUGGGUUCAGACAAAUGAAGGUUGUUUGGGCCAUCAAAGCAUUUAAAGCUGAAAUGAUGGAUCUGAUGGUCAGUGAUGUCAGCAAAGAUGUUGACUUUGCCUGAGUCAGAGCACUUUUUGGUCAGUGGAGCCCCUAAUUUCUCGGUCUGUCCGUCGCUGUCUCCCGGUUUCCGUCUCCCUUUUAACCUCUCCUGCUCUCACAUCAUCUGGCUCUGCUCUCUCACACAUCUAAAAACUGCAGCUCUCUCGUCCAUGCCAGUGUCCUGACCUCAACCAAAAGUAAAGGCAUUCACAAAUCACAUUCACAAGUUGUAUGAAAAUAAAUGAUAUGCAUUAAAACGUGGGUGUAAUAUUUGUGCAUCCUGUCCGUAGGUACUUUGAAUAUGCAAGUAUCAUUUGCAUUACUGAUCUUUCUUCCUAAGACAGCUACAUUAUAAUACUUUAUCUUCCAUCCAUCCAUUAUCUCUUCCUAUUCAAGUUCACAGAGGCGAUGGAUCAAUUUACAGAAAAGUAACAUUUUUCACCUCUAGGUGUCAGAAUAAACAAAAAAUCUGUAUAAUGUGUAAAUUAAUGCCAUAACAUUGCCAUUGUUUCAUGUUUUACACAUACAACAAUAUUAUUUUAAUACACUAAGUGAUGAUAAUGAAUGUCAACACCUUGUGCGGAAACUGAAUGUGUGAUAAUUGCUGGGUUUGGAGUUCGCUGCCCAUCUAUUGUCCAAGCCUGUGAUGACUGUGCUGGGGAUCGUCGGAGCUGAACUGUAGGAGAGGGAGGACUCACAGGCCGCCUGUCUGUCACUGGAGUUAGACAGACACUCACGGACAUGUUUACACCCUGGUUGUUUAAAUUUACAGUCACCUGGACUCAAGAAAACGUCUUCUAACCUAAAAUUAUAGGACGAACGCUGCCUAGUAUUGAGCAGAAACAGUUUAUUUCUGCUCAUUAUGUGUUUUGUUGGAACCAAAAAAUAUAUAUAUUAUUACCAUAAUACUAAUAUAAGAAUUUAAAAGAGACUAUCGGCCCUGUGGCCUUUUCACCCUCGUUGCCAUGUUCUAGAUGGCACGUAGCCGCUCUCCACUGUUUUGAAUGGGCUUUGUAAAAACCAUUGUAACCAUGUGAACAAUAGUGAAGUGUCUGAAUGGGAAUGUCUUCAUUCAAUAAACAGCCGAACAAUAAGA